UCGGAUCCUGUAAGGGAGAUGGAACUGCUGGGUCUGCCUGCUUCCUCAGCGGGUUCCUCCCAGCCGCUCCCACUUCCUAGAGUCUUCCAAAGACUGCCUUCCCAAACCCCAAUUCCCAAGUCUUCCUAGUCAGCAGUCUUCAUGUCCAAUUAAGACUUUGAAGGGCCUUGUCCUUGGAGACCCCAUUGUCUGUGCCCAGCGCUCCUACAGGGAGGACUUAUGGGAGAAGGGUCUGAAGCUUGAAGCUCUGUCUCGACCCCUUAGGCCUGAUGUUCCUGUUUCCUCCCCAACCCUUUUCUCCUUCCCAACCUGGCUAGAAGGGUUGCCUAGGAGACCCUGGCUCACUUACUGUCCUCCUUGCAGCAGACAGACACCUGGAGUCUCAGGCACUGGCCAGGACUCUCCGGAGUUGGCACCGCUGUAGGAAAUUGGGAGGAAAAAGAGGCAGCGUGAGCCGCUCACUCACAGAUGUAGUAGUAAGUCUCUCCAGGCAAGAACUCGAAGCCCAGCGGGAACGGUGUGAAGCGCUGAAUCUUUUCGGAGAAUCGAACAGGGACAAAAGGCGCAAAAGGGUGUUGCUAAAUUGCCCAGGCUGUCCAUGAACUCACUCUAUAGUUCAGGCAGGCUUUGAACCUACGAUCCUCCUGUCCUAGCCUUCCAAGUAGCUGAGCUUACACGCCUGUGCCAAUGCCCAGACUGAAUACCUCGGGAGACUGGAGAAGCAAGAAAUAAGAUCAUUAAGUCAGUGUUGGAGAGGCCAGAGCUGCAGUGUCCAGCCCAUGAGGCUUGCUUAUUGCUGAGGGGACACCUUCCCUGCAGCCCAUCCUCCCUGGGGCCCCCUUUGGUGCCUGGCUUACCAUCUGUGCUUGGUAAGUGCUAAGAGGGUGAAAGUUACCAGGAGGCUAAGGCAGGGAGCAGCUAUAUGCUCACAGCAUAGUUACCAAGAUGAAGUGGGAGUUCUGAGGGUUUUCAGUAUCAGACACAUCAAGCAGACUCUUGCCCCCCUCCCACAGUGAAAAAAAAUGGUACAAAGAAAACGGGCAGGUGGGCUCUUUUUCUCUCUUUAGAGAUCCCAGGCUGGCCUUGAACUCAUGAUCCUCCUGCUUUACC
Non-coding RNA from Rattus norvegicus (Norway rat), 1110 nucleotides. Lineage: Eukaryota; Metazoa; Chordata; Mammalia; Rodentia; Muridae. The record is from RefSeq and is a predicted model, not a curated record.